CCUACGGGAGGCAGCAGUGGGGAAUAUUGCACAAUGGGGGAAACCCUGAUGCAGCGACGCCGCGUGAGUGAAGAAGUACUUCGUUAUGUAAAGCUCUAUCAGCAGGGAAGAAAAUGACGGUACCUGAGUAAGAAGCCCCGGCUAACUACGUGCCAGCAGCCGCGGUAAUACGCAGGGGGCAAGCGUUAUCCGGGUUUACGGGGUGUAAAGGGAGCGUAGACGGCAGUGCAAGUCUGGAGUGAAAGGCGGGGGCUCAACCCCCGGACUGCUCUGGAAACUGUACGGCUGGAGUGCAGGAGAGGUAAGUGGAAUUCCUGGUGUAGCGGUGAAAUGCGUAGAUAUUAGGAGGAACACCAGUGGCGAAGGCGGCUUACUGGACUGUAACUGACGUUGAGGCACGAAAGCGUGGGGAGCGAACAGGAUUAGAUACCCCUGUAGUC
Molecule: ribosomal RNA, 440 nt
Filed under: uncultured bacterium
Lineage: Bacteria
Description: partial 16S ribosomal RNA
Rfam family: Bacterial small subunit ribosomal RNA
Source: RNAcentral